Molecule: ribosomal RNA, 309 nt
Filed under: Physocyclus mexicanus
Lineage: Eukaryota; Metazoa; Arthropoda; Arachnida; Araneae; Pholcidae
Description: partial 18S ribosomal RNA
Rfam family: Eukaryotic small subunit ribosomal RNA
Source: RNAcentral
GGGGACGAAAAAAUAACGAUACGGGACUCUCUCGAGACCCCGUUAAUCGGAAUGAGCACGGCCUAAAUCCUCUAACGAGGACCCAUUGGAGGGCAAGUCUGGUGCCAGCAGCCGCGGUAGUUCCAGCUCCAAUAGCGUAUAUUAAAGUUGUUGCGGUUAAAAAGCUCGUAGUUGGAUCUCAGUUCCAGACGGGCGGUCCGCCUAACGGCGGCCACCGCCCGGCCUGAACAACCGGCCGGUUUCCCUAGAUGGCCUUCACCGGUUGUCCUGGGUGACCGGCGCGUUUACUUUAAAAAAAUUAGAGUGCUG